This 1078-nucleotide ribosomal RNA is filed under the name uncultured bacterium. RNAcentral describes it as "bacterial SSU rRNA". It matches the Rfam family "Bacterial small subunit ribosomal RNA", at positions 63 to 1140 of the family's 1533-position model. The record is from RNAcentral.
CGAGGGGCAGCGCGGGAUAGCAAUAUCCUGGCGGCGACCGGCGGAAGGGUGCGUAACGCGUGAGCGACAUGCCCGUUGCCCGGGGACAACCGGUGGAAACGCCGACUAAUCCCCGAUGGGAUACGAUGCUUCAUGGCAUUGUAUUGAAAGUUACGGCGGCGACGGAUUGGCUCGCGUCCGAUUAGCUUGUUGGCGGGGUAACGGCCCACCAAGGCUACGAUCGGUAGGGGUUCUGAGAGGAAGGCCCCCCACAAUGGGACUGAGACACGGCCCAUACUCCUACGGGAGGCAGCAGUGAGGAAUAUUGGUCAAUGGGCGGAAGCCUGAACCAGCCAUGCCGCGUGCGGGAAGGAGGCCCUAUGGGCUGUGAACCGCUUUUGCCUGGGGGCAAUAAGGGCGUCGCGCACGUCCGAUGAGAGUACCAGGCGAAUAAGCAUCGGCUAACUCCGUGCCAGCAGCCGCGGUAAUACGGGGGAUGCGAGCGUUAUCCCGAUUCAUUGGGUUUAAAGGGUGCGUAGGCUGUGCGUCAAGUCGGGGGUGAAAUUCCGGUGCUCAACACCGGGGCUGCCCUUGAUACUGUCGCGCUGGAGUGCGGAUGCCGCCGGAGGAAUGAGUGGUGUAGCGGUGAAAUGCUUAGAUAUCACUCAGAACACCGAUUGCGAAGGCAUCUGGCGAAUCCGUAACUGACGCUGAGGCACGAAAGCGUGGGGAUAGAACAGGAUUAGAUACCCUGGUAUUCCACGCCGUAAACGAUGAUGGCUAACCGCCGGCGACACACUGUCGGUGGCCAAGCGAAAGCGAUAAGCCAUCCACCUGGGGAGUACGUCGGCAACGAUGAAACUCAAAGGAAUUGACGGGGGCCCGCACAAGCGGAGGAACAUGUGGUUUAAUUCGAUGAUACGCGAGGAACCUUACCCGGGCUCGAACGGCACCUGGAUCGCCCAGAGAUGGGCGAGUCUUCGGACAGGUGUCGAGGUGCUGCAUGGUUGUCGUCAGCUCGUGCCGUGAGGUGUCGGCUCAAGUGCCAUAACGAGCGCAACCCUUGCCGCCAGUUGCCAUCAGGUGAUGCUGGGCACUC